This 387-nucleotide unclassified non-coding RNA is filed under the name soil metagenome. Its description in RNAcentral is "partial contains 5.8S ribosomal RNA, internal transcribed spacer 2, and large subunit ribosomal RNA". The stretch from base 1 to 120 matches the Rfam family "5.8S ribosomal RNA", at positions 35 to 154 of the family's 154-position model. The record is from RNAcentral.
GAUGAAGAACGUAGCGAAAUGCGAUAAGUAAUGUGAAUUGCAGAAUUCAGUGAAUCAUCGAAUCUUUGAACGCACCUUGCACCCUUUGGUAUUCCGAAGGGUAUGCUCGUUUGAGUGUCAUUGUACUCUCACACUUCUAAUUCCUUUCGGGAUUGGGAGCGGUGGACUUGGGUGUUGCUGCUUUAGUUGUGGCUCACCUCAAAUAAGUUAGUGCAACUCUUGGUUGGACAUAGCACGGCGUGAUAAGUGUCUUCGCCGGCGCCUCUGUAAGGAGGGUGGCCGAUCGGGAGCUCUGUGCUUCAAACCGUCUUCGGACAAUCUUUGACAACUUGACCUCAAAUCGAGUAGGACUACCCGCUGAACUUAAGCAUAUCAAUAAGCGGAGGA